GGUUUCAUAGUGUAGUGGUCAUCAUGUCUGCUUUAUACGCCGAAGGCCCUGGGUUCAUUCCCCAGUGAAAGCA
Xenopus tropicalis (tropical clawed frog) is the source of this 73-nucleotide non-coding RNA. Lineage: Eukaryota; Metazoa; Chordata; Amphibia; Anura; Pipidae. The record is from the annotation of a RefSeq genome assembly.